This 207-nucleotide ribosomal RNA is filed under the name Staphylococcus aureus. RNAcentral's name for it is "partial 16S ribosomal RNA". It matches the Rfam family "Bacterial small subunit ribosomal RNA", at positions 970 to 1179 of the family's 1533-position model. Lineage: Bacteria; Bacillati; Bacillota; Bacilli; Caryophanales; Staphylococcaceae. The record is from RNAcentral.
CUUACCAAAUCUUGACAUCCUUUGACAACUCUAGAGAUAGAGCCUUCUUCGGGGGACAAAGUGACAGGUGGUGCAUGGUUGUCGUCAGCUCGUGUCGUGAGAUGUUGGGUUAAGUCCCGCAACGAGCGCAACCCUUAAGCUUAGUUGCCAUCAUUAAGUUGGGCACUCUAAGUUGACUGCCGGUGACAAACCGGAGGAAGGUGGGGA